Molecule: long non-coding RNA, 727 nt
Filed under: Linum usitatissimum (flax)
Lineage: Eukaryota; Viridiplantae; Streptophyta; Magnoliopsida; Malpighiales; Linaceae
Description: long non-coding RNA (LUSI_LNC007740)
Source: RNAcentral
GCUUGUUAGUCUUUUGUAAAUUAUAAUGUAUACACAAGGCGUAUGGGGAGGAGGAGCCUAACUAGACCAAUAUACCCUCACCUUUAUUGGGUGAGAUUGAGUUUGAGAAUGAGUUUUGAGUAGGAAAAGAAGAUAUCAUUGUUUGGUAUAUUGAGUUUGAUAUUUAGGGUGCAUUUACGAUUAUACACAUUGGCUUCUGCCGACGAACUAAUUUAGAUCCCUGUUCCCAAUCCCAAUUAAACCUCAUCCUCAAGCACCUGGUAUACCACGGUGCCAGGUAAUGUUGCCUUCUCUUCUUUUCUAACUCUGGAAGAACAGUGAAGAGAAUGAAAACAAAUACACGAGCCAAAUUAGGUGAAGAACUGAAACUAUGUGUAACAAAUUAGGAGGGAGGAAUACUUAUAGCCGAGUUACUCUAAACCCUCUAGUCAAUCUAUUACAUCGAAGUAGGUAAAAGAGAUUAGAAUGGAAGGAAUUCGUAGUUUUCGUUGAGAUAGAAAAAACGGUGAAGGCAGAGAAGAAGCAAUACUGGUGGAGCAAUUAUUAAUCGCUGCUUCAUAUGGAUGGAGAAUGAGAAGAAUCUACCUUUGUCGAUCCAUUUUAAUAGAAGAGAGAGAGAGAGGAGCCACAAAUCUUCACCGCUGGUCGGAGUCCUAGCAUUCUCCCUGAUUGUUUCUUAUCUGUAAAAGAGAAGAGAGAGAGAGUAUUCAGCUAGUGGGUGUAAUAA